GGUAGGUCUCUGGUGAUGCAUGCCGGAAUUGGCUCCCUCCUCUCUCGUUCCGGGGUGUGUCUCCUGAGAACCGCC
Myotis davidii is the source of this 75-nucleotide non-coding RNA. The record is from Rfam. NCBI's taxonomy places the organism in Eukaryota, Metazoa, Chordata, Mammalia, Chiroptera, Vespertilionidae.